This 801-nucleotide ribosomal RNA is filed under the name uncultured bacterium. Its description in RNAcentral is "bacterial SSU rRNA". It matches the Rfam family "Bacterial small subunit ribosomal RNA", at positions 68 to 864 of the family's 1533-position model. The record is from RNAcentral.
AGCACGGGUGCUUGCACCUGGUGGCGAGUGGCGAACGGGUGAGUAAUGCGUCGGAACGUACCGAGUAAUGGGGGAUAACGCAGCGAAAGUUGUGCUAAUACCGCAUACGCCCUGAGGGGGAAAGUGGGGGACCGCAAGGCCUCACGUUAUUCGAGCGGCCGACGUCUGAUUAGCUAGUUGGUGGGGUAAAGGCCUACCAAGGCGACGAUCAGUAGCGGGUCUGAGAGGAUGAUCCGCCACACUGGGACUGAGACACGGCCCAGACUCCUACGGGAGGCAGCAGUGGGGAAUUUUGGACAAUGGGGGCAACCCUGAUCCAGCCAUUCCGCGUGAGUGAAGAAGGCCUUCGGGUUGUAAAGCUCUUUCAGCUGGAACGAAACGGUACGCGCUAACAUCGUGUGCUAAUGACGGUACCGGCAGAAGAAGCACCGGCUAACUACGUGCCAGCAGCCGCGGUAAUACGUAGGGUGCGAGCGUUAAUCGGAAUUACUGGGCGUAAAGCGUGCGCAGGCGGAUUGUUAAGCAAGACGUGAAAUCCCCGGGCUUAACCUGGGAAUGGCGUUUUGAACCGGCAGUCUAGAGUGCGUCAGAGGGGGGUGGAAUUCCACGUGUAGCAGUGAAAUGCGUAGAGAUGUGGAGGAACACCGAUGGCGAAGGCAGCCCCCUGGGAUGACACUGACGCUCAUGUACGAAAGCGUGGGUAGCAAACAGGAUUAGAUACCCUGGUAGUCCACGCCCUAAACGAUGUCAACUGGUUGUUGGGGGAGUGAAAUCCCUUAGUAACGAAGCUAACGCGUGAAG